RNAcentral lists this long non-coding RNA (1116 nucleotides) under Homo sapiens (human). RNAcentral's name for it is "long intergenic non-protein coding RNA 1808". Lineage: Eukaryota; Metazoa; Chordata; Mammalia; Primates; Hominidae. The record is from RNAcentral.
GGAAGAACGGCACUUCUGACAUCAGAGGCUCCAGCUGAAAGGUUCCAAAUCUAGGAGCUGGAGUCCAUGACUCACAGGAAGAGAAGAUUAAGACACAGAGAUACCAGAGAGGUCGUUCACAGAGGAAAGACCAUGUGAAGACGCAGUGAGAAGGUGGCCAUAUUCAAGCUGAGGAGAGAGACCUCAGAAGAAACCAAUACUGCCAACGCCUUGGUCUUGGACUUCCAGCCUCCAGAACUUGGACUCUACCUUCCUUCCCCUGAUUCUCAUGAGAAUCUGAUCUUCGCUAAAGUGGGCAAGGUCCUGGAUCAGAAGAUGCCUGACAAGAGGCCACUAUCAGCAGCAACAGCACAGUGGGGACAAACCUGAGACCUUGAUGGACCGUGGACACCAGCAGGAGAGACAGAGGAACUUGAAGUCUAAAUGGGCAGACAAGACCAACAUACACAAAGCAGAGAGUGGCACAAGAGCCAUGUCUGAUGCAACAGUGACUCAGGAGGAUCACUCUGACUCAGAAUGGCCAAGCAAAGGUUAGCGUGUUAAGUCUCUGAAGCUGAUUAACGGCUUAACUCAAGUUUUCGCACCUGCAGACCAGUGACCCCCCACCGCCGCCCCCCCGCAAGGCAUCUGUUUGACGUCUCUUUAAUUUUAUUAGUGGCUUAUGGACAAAAUCACUUGACUUAACCUUUUUCAAGUGUAAGUUAUUUGGAUUCACAAGAGCAUUUUUCUCCCUGUUAUAAAUCAAUGAACCCAGUUAAGAUUAACUGCCUACAUGUGAGCUUCAAAAGAUCUUCUAUGGCCAGGCAAAGUUGAAAGAAACACAUAAUUCCAUAACAUGCUAAACACAAGUUGAUCAAAGUUUUUGGAGCUGGUUACUUAAUGCUGUACUUCCUCAUUCUCAAACAAUCUGAUUUCAAGUAGUUUGUGUCUAAAACAUAUAUUACUAGACUGCAAACAUUCAUCCUUUGGAAGAAAAAUCAUUUCUGUAUCUUAACUGGUCAAAAUCUAUGUUUCAACAGACCUAAACUAAACUCUGGGCUAAACAUUCCUGAACCUAAUUUGUGAAAUUCCAUAAUGUUUGGAGAUUAAAGCAAAAAGAAAUGAAAAUAAAAGAAA